Molecule: non-coding RNA, 27 nt
Filed under: Mus musculus (house mouse)
Lineage: Eukaryota; Metazoa; Chordata; Mammalia; Rodentia; Muridae
Source: RNAcentral
GGAGUAUAGAAUGGAAGAGCCCCAGGA